Molecule: long non-coding RNA, 459 nt
Organism: Lytechinus variegatus (green sea urchin)
Lineage: Eukaryota; Metazoa; Echinodermata; Echinoidea; Temnopleuroida; Toxopneustidae
Exons: 4
Source: RefSeq, a predicted model, not a curated record
UUAAUUUUACGAGCAUGCGCACUUGAGGAGUUUGUGAAAAAUCCGUGAAGCGAAGAAAAUUUUUCUUGCGGUCCUGGACCUGACAAGUGGUCUUCUUGAUUAGAAAUUCAAUUACAUCGGCAUCAGAGGUACCAUACAGUGUAGGUCUCUAUGGAUUAUCUCCAUCUUCUUCACAGCUUUAAAUUACUAAGAGCUACCUUUCCCAAGACAUUGUGGGCUACAUGAUGCUAAAAAUCCAUCGAAAUCGUACAAGGAUGGGCCAUCUCGAGAUCAGUAUCGACUCAAAAGAAACCGUCACCAAUAUGCUGGAAGCCGAAAUGAAGAGGGACACACAGCUCAGAGGAUAGAUCAACUUCCUGUUUAUUUGCAGGUGUUGACAACUCCAUUUUUAUGCAGUGGGAUCAUUUUAAAAGAUGCAUGGUGAUGAGGCAGCAAUAUCGCAGUCAAUGUGUCAGAAGC